RNAcentral lists this ribosomal RNA (230 nucleotides) under uncultured microorganism. RNAcentral describes it as "partial 16S ribosomal RNA". It matches the Rfam family "Bacterial small subunit ribosomal RNA", at positions 524 to 753 of the family's 1533-position model. The record is from RNAcentral.
UACGUAGGUGGCAAGCGUUGUCCGGAUUUAUUGGGCGUAAAGCGCGCGCAGGUGGUUCCUUAAGUCUGAUGUGAAAGCCCACGGCUCAACCGUGGAAGGUCAUUGGAAACUGGGGAACUUGAGUGCAGAAGAGGAAAGUGGAAUUCCAAGUGUAGCGGUGAAAUGCGUAGAUAUUUGGAGGAACACCAGUGGCGAAGGCGACUUUCUGGUCUGUAACUGACACUGAGGCG